Molecule: ribosomal RNA, 2689 nt
Filed under: Fagus sylvatica (European beech)
Lineage: Eukaryota; Viridiplantae; Streptophyta; Magnoliopsida; Fagales; Fagaceae
Description: bacterial LSU rRNA
Rfam family: Bacterial large subunit ribosomal RNA
Source: RNAcentral
UUCAAACAGGAAAGGCUUACGUGUGAUACCUAGGCACCCAGACGAGAAAGGGGCGUAGUAAGGAAAUGCUUCGGGAGUUGAAAAAGCGUAGAUCGGAGAUUCCCGAUGGUACCCUUUCGAACUGCUGCUAUCCAUGGGCAGGCAAGAGAACUGGCGAACUGAAACAUCUUAGUAGCCAGAGGAAAAGAAGCAAAGCGAUUCCGUAGUAGCGCGAGCGAAAUGGGAGCAGCCUAACGUGAAAACGGGUUGUGGGAGAGCAUACAAGCGUCGUGCUGCUAGGCCUAGCAGGGAGUGCUGCACCUAGUGGGAGGAGUCAGUAGCCGAACGCACUAGCUUACCCUGACCCGAGUAGCAUGGGCAGUGAUCCCGUGUGAAUCAGCAAGACCACUUGUAAGGCUAAAUCUGGGUGGACGAUAGUGAAGUAGUACCGUGAGGGGAAGGGUGAAAAGAACCCCCAUCGGGGAGUGAAAUAGAACUGAACCGUAACUCCCAAGCAGUGGAGGAGCCCGGGCUCUGACCGCGUGCUGUUGAAGAAUGAGCGGACUCUAGCAGGGCUUGGUUAGGAACCACCGGAGCGUAGCGAAAGCGAGUCUUCAUAGGGCAAUUUAUGCUUAUGGACCCGAACCUGGGUCUAUUCCAUGACCAGGAUGAAGCUUGGUGAAACUAAGUGGAGUCCGAACCGCUGAUGUUGAAGAUAGCGGAAGUUGUGGUUAGGGGUGAAAUGCCUCGAACCCAGAGCUAGCUGGUUUCCCGAAUGCGUUGAGGCGCAGCAGUUGACUGGAAUCUAGGGGUAAAGCACUGUUUCGGUGCGGGCGCGAGAGCGUACCAAAUGAGGCAAACUUGAAUACUAGAUAUACUCAAAUACAGGGGUCAAGGUCGGCCAGUGAGACGAUGGGGGAUAAGCUUCAUCGUCGAGAGGGAAACAGCCCGGAUCACCGCUAAGGCCUAAAUGACCGCUCAGUUGAUAAAGGAGGUAGGGGUGCGAGACAGCCAGGAGGUUUCCUAGAGCACCACCUUGAAGAGUGCGUAAUAGCUCACUGAUCGAGCGCUCUUGCGCCGAAGUGAUACGGGGCUAAGCGAUUGCCGAACUGUGGGAUGUAAAAAGGCAUCGGUAGGAGCGUUCGCCUUAGAGGGAAGCACCCGCGAGAGCGGUGUGGACGAAGGGAGCGAGAAUGUCGGCUUGAGUAACGCAAACAUUGUUGAGAAUCCAAUGCCCCGAAACCUAAGGGUUCCUCCGCAAGGUUCCCACGGAGGGUGAGUCAGGGCCUAAGAUAGCGAAAAGGCGUUCGAUGGACAACAGGUGAUAUUCCUGACUGCCCCUUGUUGCCCGAGGGACGAGGAGGCUAGUAGCCGAAAGAUGGUUAUCGGUUAAGGCGCAGGGCCCUGCUUUUUCAGGGUAAGAAAGGGGUAGAGAAAAUGCCGAGCCAAUGUUCGAGUACAGCGCUACGGCGCUGAAGUACCAUGCAUACUCAGGAAAACUGAUCGACUUCAAAAAAGGUACUGUACCCAAAGCACUGUGGGUAGGUAAAUGCUAGGGGCGAGACAACUCUCUCUAAGGAUCGCAAAAUAGCCCGUAACUCGGAGAUAUUGGUGUCUCAGAAGAGGGUCGCAGUGACCAGGCGGGCGACGUUUAUCAAAAACAGGUCUCGCAAGUCGUAAACCAUGUAUUGGGGCUGACGUGCCCAUGCGGAGGCAAGGAAAUUGGUGACUGAUGACAGGGACCGCGACCGAAGCCCGUGAACGGCGGCCGUAACUAUAACGGUCCUAGUAGCGAAAUCCUUGUCGGGUAGUUCGCCCGCAAAAGCGUAACGAUCUGGGCUGCUCGAGAGAUACUCGGUGAAAAGACAUGUUGUGAGAUGCGAUACCUGCACCUGAAGAAAGACCUAUGAAGUUCACUGUUUCCUGGGAUGGCUUUGGGCCUUCCUGCGCUCUAGGUGAGGGCUAAGAAGCUCCUCCGGGGGGCCGGCGUCGUGAGAUCCACUGGAGAGGAGAAUUCUAACCUUGGUCAGACCUCGGCAAGGGACGUCCAGUGACAUUUUAUGGGCGAGGCCCCCAAGUACCGAGCGUGAAAGCAUCUCGGCCAGCGAAUUGCCUCGAGUGCAAGGCAGAACGAGCUUGACUGAAGACCACCCGUCGAGAGGGACGAAAGUCGGCCUUAGUAUGCGAGGGCGAGUGGGCGUCGCUCACGGAUAAAGUUACUCUAGGGAUAACAGGCUGAUCUUCCCAAGCUCACAUCGACGGCGGUUGCACCUCGAUGUCGGCUCUUCGCCUGGCUGUAUAUGUCCAAGGGUUGGCUGUUACCAUUAAAGCGGUACGUGUGGGUUCAGAAGUCUGAGACAGUCGGUCCAUAUCCGGUGUGGGCGUAGAGCAUUGAAGGACCUUUCCCUAGUACAGAGACGGGGAGGACGCACCUGUGUACCAGUUACGUCCCACGGAAACGCGUAGCCAAUGCGGAGCGGAUAACUGCUGAAAGCAUAAGUAGUAAGCCCACCCAAGCUGAGUGCUCUCCCAUUCCGAUCCCAAGCCUCCGGUAGCACAGCGAACAGGAUGGUUCGCCCUGCGGGGAUGGAGCGACAGAAGUUUUAGAAUCAAGAGAAGGCACGGCGAGACGAGCCGUUAUCAUUACAUAGUGUCAAGUGAAGUGCAGUGAUGUAUGCAGCUGAGCAUCCUAACACGUAGACUUGAACCU